RNAcentral lists this ribosomal RNA (255 nucleotides) under uncultured bacterium. Its description in RNAcentral is "partial 16S ribosomal RNA". It matches the Rfam family "Bacterial small subunit ribosomal RNA", at positions 524 to 776 of the family's 1533-position model. The record is from RNAcentral.
UACGUAGGGUGCAAGCGUUGUCCGGAAUUAUUGGGCGUAAAGAGCUCGUAGGCGGUUUGUUGCGUCGGCUGUGAAAUCCCGAGGCUCAACCUCGGGUCUGCAGUCGAUACGAGCAAACUAGAGUGUUGCAGGGGAGACUGGAAUUCCUGGUGUAGCGGUGAAAUGCGCAGAUAUCAGGAGGAACACCGGUGGCGAAGGCGGGUCUCUGGGCCGAUACUGACGCUGGAGGAGCGAAAGCCGUGGGGAGCGAACAGG